This 253-nucleotide ribosomal RNA is filed under the name uncultured bacterium. RNAcentral describes it as "partial 16S ribosomal RNA". It matches the Rfam family "Bacterial small subunit ribosomal RNA", at positions 524 to 776 of the family's 1533-position model. The record is from RNAcentral.
UACGGGGGGGGCAAGCGUUGUUCGGAAUUACUGGGCGUAAAGGGCUCGUAGGUGGCCAACUAAGUCAUACGUGAAAUCCCUCGGCUUAACCGGGGAACUGCGCCUGAUACUGGUUGGCUUGAGUUUGGGAGAGGGACGCGGAAUUCCAGGUGUAGCGGUGAAAUGCGUAGAUAUCUGGAGGAACACCGGUGGCGAAGGCGGCGUCCUGGACCGAGAUUGACACUGAUGAGCGAAAGCCAGGGGAGCAAACGGG